CGGGAUGAUGAUGCCGUGAUAGGAAGUGCCGUCAGAUGCGAGAACUGACGAGAGAUUCCCACCGGCUGACC
Molecule: small nucleolar RNA, 71 nt
Organism: Podarcis muralis (Common wall lizard)
Lineage: Eukaryota; Metazoa; Chordata; Lepidosauria; Squamata; Lacertidae
Product: small nucleolar RNA SNORD49
Source: Ensembl